This 103-nucleotide signal recognition particle RNA is filed under the name Thermobacillus composti KWC4. Its description in RNAcentral is "Bacterial signal recognition particle RNA". It matches the Rfam family "Bacterial small signal recognition particle RNA". From Rfam's summary of the family: The signal recognition particle (SRP) is a universally conserved ribonucleoprotein involved in the co-translational targeting of proteins to membranes. Archaeal SRP consists of a 7S RNA and homologues of the eukaryotic SRP19 and SRP54 proteins. Lineage: Bacteria; Bacillati; Bacillota; Bacilli; Caryophanales; Paenibacillaceae. The record is from RNAcentral.
CGGCCGGGUCCUCCGCAAUGAGCCCCUGUGAACCUGGUCAGGUCCGGAAGGAAGCAGCCAUAAGCAGGUUUGUUCAUGUGCCGGGGGAGUGCCUGGCCCGAGC